CCUACGGGUGGCAGCAGUGAGGAAUAUUGGUCAAUGGGCGCGAGCCUGAACCAGCCAAGUAGCGUGAAGGAUGACUGCCCUACGGGUUGUAAACUUCUUUUAUAAAGGAAUAAAGUGAGUCACGUGUGCCUCUUUGCAUGUACUUUAUGAAUAAGGAUCGGCUAACUCCGUGCCAGCAGCCGCGGUAAUACGGAGGAUCCGAGCGUUAUCCGGAUUUAUUGGGUUUAAAGGGUGCGCAGGCGGAGGUUCAAGUCAGCGGUCAAAUUGCGGGGCUCAACCCCGUACUGCCGUUGAAACUGCGUCCCUUGAGGGCGCGGAAAGUAUGCGGAAUGCGUGGUGUAGCGGUGAAAUGCAUAGAUAUCACGAAGAACCCCGAUUGCGAAGGCAGCAUGCCGGCGCGGAACUGACGCUGAUGCACGAAAGCGUGGGUAUCGAACAGGAUUAGAUACCCGAGUAGUC
This 459-nucleotide ribosomal RNA is filed under the name uncultured bacterium. RNAcentral's name for it is "partial 16S ribosomal RNA". It matches the Rfam family "Bacterial small subunit ribosomal RNA", at positions 338 to 795 of the family's 1533-position model. The record is from RNAcentral.